Non-coding RNA from Cinara cedri, 652 nucleotides. The record is from the annotation of a GenBank genome assembly. NCBI's taxonomy places the organism in Eukaryota, Metazoa, Arthropoda, Insecta, Hemiptera, Aphididae.
UGUAAUGUUGCAAAAUUUGUGCAUCAGUUGCUGAUAACAAUAUGCACGAGUUGGCAGUGGCCAGUGUGCCAUCGUUUCCGCGUCGUUCGAUCGCGCCAACGGGGUACGGGGGUCUGCCGUCCUCCGAACUACUGUCCGCACCACGGUCAUUAUUCUACAGUCCGCGUAGCCAUGUAGUACGUAAUUCUUUGUUCGACCGAAAACCGACCCGAGCCCGUGUAAAAUAAUCUACGGUUCGCCUUAGAUCGGCACCGACAACCGUCGUCCUACAGUUACGAUUCGACAGUGGGAUUGAUACGACAUCGUAAGCCCAAACUGUCCGCGCCGAGUGGGUCUCAAAACAAAAAGAAAAACACACUUUUUUUUGUCAUGAUGUUCGGCGCCAACAUGAUGGGCUAGACGUACCGACUGUGGUCUGCGGUGGAUCGCGAACGAAGGAGCCGUGCGACAACAACGACAACAGCAACAACAACAGUAAUAUCAGUCAGGAUAACCAAAAACCCCCUAAAAUUUACCGAAUUUAUAAUAUUUUUGUUUUUUUUUUUAUUUUAUCUCAGCACUUUUCCUACUUUUGUUUUCCCCCUCUAGUCCAUUUCUAAAAUUCUAAAAUUCACGUUACAAAAUUAUAAUAAAUAUAAAAUCAUUGAUGGAC